Molecule: ribosomal RNA, 253 nt
Filed under: uncultured bacterium
Lineage: Bacteria
Description: partial 16S ribosomal RNA
Rfam family: Bacterial small subunit ribosomal RNA
Source: RNAcentral
UACGGAGGGUGCAAGCGUUGUCCGGAUUUAUUGGGUUUAAAGGGUGCGUAGGCGGUCAACUAAGUCAGUGGUGAAAGGCAGCAGCUCAACUGUUGCACUGCCAUUGAUACUGGAUGACUUGAGUACAGACGAGGUAGGCGGAAUUUAUGGUGUAGCGGUGAAAUGCAUAGAUACCAUAAAGAACACCGAUUGCGAAGGCAGCUUACUAGGCUGUAACUGACGCUGAGGCACGAAAGCGUGGGGAUCGAACAGG